GGUCAAUUAGCUCAGUUGGUUAGAGCGCACGAUUCACAUUCGUGAGGUCGCUGGUUCAAGUCCAGCAUUGACCA
Molecule: transfer RNA, 74 nt
Filed under: Pseudomonadales bacterium
Lineage: Bacteria; Pseudomonadati; Pseudomonadota; Gammaproteobacteria; Pseudomonadales
Also listed under: 1 other name
Description: tRNA-Val
Rfam family: tRNA
About the family: Transfer RNA (tRNA) molecules are approximately 80 nucleotides in length. Their secondary structure includes four short double-helical elements and three loops (D, anti-codon, and T loops).
Source: RNAcentral